RNAcentral lists this ribosomal RNA (253 nucleotides) under uncultured bacterium. Its description in RNAcentral is "partial 16S ribosomal RNA". It matches the Rfam family "Bacterial small subunit ribosomal RNA", at positions 524 to 776 of the family's 1533-position model. The record is from RNAcentral.
UACGUAGGGUGCGAGCGUUAAUCGGAAUUACUGGGCGUAAAGGGUGCGCAGGCGGUUCCGCAAGUCAGGCGUGAAAGCCCCGGGCUCAACCUGGGAAUGGCAGUGGAAACUGGCUCGCUGGAGUAUGGCAGAGGGGGGUGGAAUUCCGCGUGUAGCAGUGAAAUGCGUAGAGAUGCGGAGGAACACCGAUGGCGAAGGCAGCCCCCUGGGCCAAUACUGACGCUCAGGCACGAAAGCGUGGGGAGCAAACAGG